UGUACACACCGCCCGUCACACCAUGGAAGUUGGUCACGCCCGAAGUCGUUACCCCAACCGCAAGGGGGGGGAUGCCUAAGGUAGGACUGAUGACUGGGGUGAAGUCGUAACAAGGUAGCCGUACCGGAAGGUGUGGCUGGAUCACCUCCUUUUAGGGAGACCUAAUCCAUUUAGAAAUCGAAAGCAGUGAAAAUUGCCCAUAGAAACUAAAUUGGUCUAACCUAGGUCGGUCGCAGACUUGAAGUAAAGCUUUCAAACUAUGAUUUGGUUCGAUAAGGGCUAUUAGCUCAGGUGGUUAGAGCGCACCCCUGAUAAGGGUGAGGUCCCUGGUUCGAGUCCAGGAUGGCCCACCUGAAGCAAGUCAAAAGUAAAAAGUCAAAGGUCAAAGGUAUAUUCCUUUUGAAUUUUGCCUUUUGAAUUUUGAAUUGUUUUUGGGGGUUUAGCUCAGUUGGUAGAGCGCCUGCUUUGCAAGCAGGAUGUCAGCGGUUCGAGUCCGCUAACCUCCACAUUGGAAAAAAGACAGCACCUAACAAUAAAAGUUAGACUGCUGGGUGAAAUUCCAGCCAGAACCUUGAAAACUGCAUAAGAGAACUAGAAAAAGCAGGCAGACACAGACAUUUAAAUGGAUGUGAAAGCAAAGAAAAAUUGUGGUCAAGCUAAUAAGGGCUAAUGGUGGAUACCUAGGCACACAGAGA
This 695-nucleotide unclassified non-coding RNA is filed under the name uncultured cyanobacterium. RNAcentral's name for it is "partial contains 16S ribosomal RNA, 16S-23S ribosomal RNA intergenic spacer, and 23S ribosomal RNA". The stretch from base 1 to 152 matches the Rfam family "Bacterial small subunit ribosomal RNA", at positions 1382 to 1533 of the family's 1533-position model. Lineage: Bacteria; Bacillati; Cyanobacteriota. The record is from RNAcentral.